CACAGCGUGGGGAAGUGGUCAUCCCAUCUGGUUCAUACCCAGAAGAUCGUCGGUUCGAAUCCGGCCGCUGCAACCA
This 76-nucleotide transfer RNA is filed under the name Georhizobium profundi. RNAcentral's name for it is "tRNA-Met". It matches the Rfam family "tRNA". Rfam says of the family: Transfer RNA (tRNA) molecules are approximately 80 nucleotides in length. Lineage: Bacteria; Pseudomonadati; Pseudomonadota; Alphaproteobacteria; Hyphomicrobiales; Rhizobiaceae. The record is from RNAcentral.